This 92-nucleotide small RNA is filed under the name uncultured Micromonas. RNAcentral's name for it is "partial transfer-messenger RNA". The record is from RNAcentral. Lineage: Eukaryota; Viridiplantae; Chlorophyta; Mamiellophyceae; Mamiellales.
UUUUUAACGAGUCGAGACGGCGGUUGUUUCCUACAUACAGUACGUGCACAAUACAAGCGCGAAAUACAACUUCUUUUGCUUCAAAACGGCGU